Molecule: long non-coding RNA, 661 nt
Filed under: Mytilus galloprovincialis (Mediterranean mussel)
Lineage: Eukaryota; Metazoa; Mollusca; Bivalvia; Mytilida; Mytilidae
Source: RNAcentral
AAAAAAUAUGCAACUAUUAAUGCUGGCACAAAUUUCAGAAUAUACAAAAGCUAAUUUUAAAUUUAUAAGAAAGUGUUUCAUUGAAACUCGGAUAGAUCUAGUGUUAUUGAAGAAGCAUUUUUCUCCUGAGCAAUCUAUGUUUUAAUAAUCAGUUCAGAGCAAUAUGAACACUACCUGUUUGCAAAAGGGAGACAUAUGCCUUCAAACACGGAAAUACUGAAAAUUUUGGUAUAGUAACUGUCUAAUCCUCAUAACCAUUUGUUGACAAUUUAUGUAAAAGUAGUUUGCAAAAUCAAAUCCAAUUAAACUUUUAUAUAUUUCAUAUUAAGUGAUUUGAAAAAUUUGCAUUAAAACAUUGUAAUUAAGCCUAGCCUCAAGUUUGUCAGAACACAUUGGUGACAUAUAUGGUGUGACAUGUUUUUGUUUUUUUUAUGUAAUAAAAAAAUUCAAAUUUCAAUUACAAUUUUACAAGGAAGAUAAUGUCUUCCAGCAGGAAAAAGACCCUAAAAAUGCAUUUAAACAGUAAUUCAGACUAAAUUCAGAGCAGUAUCAGCCUUUAAUUUUGGAAGCAUUUAACACUGUUUAAGGUUGACCAAGAUCAUACAGCUGAUCCUACUCUUUUUAGCAGUAGUAAAUACUGUUGCCCAUUCUUAUCCCAAAC